This 1263-nucleotide ribosomal RNA is filed under the name uncultured Chloroflexota bacterium. RNAcentral's name for it is "bacterial SSU rRNA". It matches the Rfam family "Bacterial small subunit ribosomal RNA", at positions 54 to 1332 of the family's 1533-position model. Lineage: Bacteria; Bacillati; Chloroflexota. The record is from RNAcentral.
CAUGCAAGUCGAACGAGCUUUCUCUUCUCGCAAGAGGGGGGGGAGCGAGUGGCGGACGGGUGAGGAACACGUGGGUGACCUACCCUGAAGUGAGGGAUACCGGCGAGAAAUCGCCGACAAUCCCGCAUAGGCUUGUUCUCUCGCGAGAGAGGGCAAGCAAAGCUUCUCGCAAGAGGGGCGCUUUGGGAUGGGCCCGCGGCCGAUUAGCUGGUUGGUGGGGUAAGAGCCUACCAAGGCAUCGAUCGGUAGCUGGUCUGAGAGGACGAUCAGCCACACUGGGAUUGAGAACGGCCCAGACUCCUUCGGGGGGCAGCAGUGAGGAAUUUUCGGCAAUGGGGGCAACCCUGACCGAGCAACGCCGCGUGCAGGAAGAAGGUCUUCGGAUCGUAAACUGCUUUUCUCUGGGAAGAGAAUGGACGGUACCAGAGGAAGAAGCCCCGGCUAACUACGUGCCAGCAGCCGCGGUAAUACGUAGGGGGCGAGCGUUGUCCGGAGUUACUGGGCGUAAAGGGCACGCAGGCGGUCAGGUCAGUUUGGGGUUACAGCUCCCGGCUCAACUGGGAGAGCGCCUUGAAGACGGCCUGACUUGAGAGCCAGAGAGGGACACAGAAUUCCGGGUGUAGUGGUGAAAUGCGUAGAUAUCCGGAGGAAUACCAAAGGCGAAGGCAGUGUCCUGGCUGGUAUCUGACGCUGAGGUGCGAAAGCUAGGGGAGCGAACGGGAUUAGAUACCCCGGUAGUCCUAGCCGUAAACGAUGACCACUAGGUGUGCGGGGUAUCGACCCCCUGCGUGCCGGAGCUAACGUGAUAAGUGGUCCGCCUGGGGAGUACGGUCGCAAGAUUAAAACUCAAAGGAAUUGACGGGGACCCGCACAAGCAGCGGAGCGUGUGGUUUAAUUCGAGGCUACACGAAGCACCUUACCUGGGCUUGACAUGCAGUCGAACGAGGCGGAAACGCCGAGGGCCGCAAGGCGGCUGCACAGGUGCUGCAUGGCUGUCGUCAGCUCGUGCCGUGAGGUGUUAGGUUAAGUCCUGUAACGAGCGCAACCCCUGGCUCCAGUUACACGUAGUCUGGAGCGACUGCCCGUGACAAGCGGGAGGAAGGUGGGGAUGACGUCAAGUCAGCAUGGCCUUUAUGUCCAGGGCUACACACACGCUACAAUGGCCGGUACAAUGGGUCGCCAAGCCGCAAGGCGCAGCCAAUCCUAUCAAAGCCGGUCACAGUUCGGAUUGUGGGCUGCAACCCGCCCACAUGAAGUCGGAGU